GUGCUCGCUUUGGCAGCACAUAUACUAAAAACUGGAAUGAUACAGAGAUUAGCAUGGCCCCUGCGCAAGAAGUACAUUUUAUCACCUGUACCAUGGCAAAAGUCC
Small nuclear RNA from Onychomys torridus (southern grasshopper mouse), 105 nucleotides. NCBI's taxonomy places the organism in Eukaryota, Metazoa, Chordata, Mammalia, Rodentia, Cricetidae. The record is from RefSeq and is a predicted model, not a curated record.